UUGGUGUUCAGCUGCUCCUUUUCAUCUGCCGUAUCCCUUUUAUUGCGAUGUCAUAUGAUGGUGAAGAUAGCCUCUUUUGUUUCAAACUGAAAGUUAUGCUCUAUUUCUAUUUUGGGCACAUUAACAGUUGAAUCUAAAACUGCACUUUGAUGUAAAAUCAGACGGAUUACAAUACGUUGAUACUUCAGCAAUGACUCUAGCUGUUGGAAAAAACAAACUUGGCCUGCACAAGAUGCAUGUUUCAGCCUGCUAUGCUUCAACUACUCCACUUAAGGAAAGUUGUCUGGUCUGACCUGUGACAAAACCCUAAUAUCAAACGGGAACAGCUGCAGCACGAGGGGACUGAGGAAGACCUGCCCUGGGAACUACCUUCCAGUAAUUCCAACAUGGCCAUCUAUUCAGUGCGAAUAUACACCAUCCGACCCGGCCAUUUCGAGGGCCCUCCCAUCGUCUUCGGACCCAUGACCGGGAGACCACCCUUCCUGCAAGAAGUCUACAUCAUCCCAGCCGGACCCACCCUUCCUGAUAGCUAACUAUUCAAUCCAUGCUCAGAGCUUGGAAGUAACUAGUUACAAGUAAUGAAUUACUUGUAAUUUAUUACUUUUUUGAGUAACAAGUGGGUAACUUCAUUACAUUUUGCUGGUAAUAGAAUGAGUAGUAACUUCAUUACUUUGGAGGAGUAAUGGUAAUGUUUCCAGCAUUACUUUUGCGCAUUACUUGGGGGGGGAGCAGGGGAAGUCUUCUGCUCCUCUGAUUUGUGAAUAAAAACCAUGUGCUUCAAA
Long non-coding RNA from Rhineura floridana, 782 nucleotides. RefSeq lists it as uncharacterized. NCBI's taxonomy places the organism in Eukaryota, Metazoa, Chordata, Lepidosauria, Squamata, Rhineuridae. The record is from RefSeq and is a predicted model, not a curated record. The transcript is spliced from 4 exons.